Molecule: small nuclear RNA, 21 nt
Filed under: Arabidopsis thaliana (thale cress)
Lineage: Eukaryota; Viridiplantae; Streptophyta; Magnoliopsida; Brassicales; Brassicaceae
Description: snRNA_16963
Source: RNAcentral
UAACAAGGAUUCCCUUAGUAA